Molecule: long non-coding RNA, 5157 nt
Organism: Numida meleagris (helmeted guineafowl)
Lineage: Eukaryota; Metazoa; Chordata; Aves; Galliformes; Numididae
Exons: 3
Source: RefSeq, a predicted model, not a curated record
UGCCAAGUAUUCCUUGAUAUACAUCCUGUUAAUGUAAAGCAGCUGUAUAAUUCAAAAUAUACAACUUGUUUUUCUCAGCAAUUUUAACACUCUAAAGGAUGCCAAUGACUGUAUUGACAUACAAUUUUCUUUAUAAAAGGAGUGUAAGGAAAGGAAACCAAACGCUAGCUAAAAAUACAUUGCACUUACAAUAUACUCCAGCAUUCAAAGCUGUUGAAGCAUUUAAUGAAGCUAUCAAAAGAAGAGCGCCUUCGAAGCUGAAGGUUUUCUGGAAGUAUCCAGGCCUUCCUUCUCUUAGGCAUGAAGUGGAAAGUGACUUAGUUUCCUGCCAAACUUCUUUGCAUUUCUACCUACAGCGUUGGGCUAUAAGGCUACAGCCACCUUAGUUUUCCUCUUACCCUGCUCCAAGAAUUAUCCAUUUUGUGGAGCAUGAUAAAGCUGCUCUUGAUGCUUUCUGCUUUUGAAGCUGAGCUGACCCAAAAUUUCACCCCCCAAAACCUUUCCAUCAGUCUGACUCUUUGGAAUGUGUUUUUAUAAGCUGCAUGAUUUUAUUUAAGCUUUUCCAUGCUUUUUGACGUUUUCCUACAGAAAGACAGUACAGGGUGCACUUUGUCACCAAAAAUAUCUGUUGAAAUAUCAUUUCAUGUGAGUGACUAAGACGAUACGCCACCUCUGGAAAAAAUAAAUCAGCAGCCUAGCUUACAGCUGGAGAGAAAAAUGUUUGGAGGGAAACUGCCUUUCUGAGAAGAAGUUAAAGACUUUGUGGAGCCAGCCAACUGGAAUAGCAGAGGGACCUUGAUCCUGCUCCUGCUUACUGAGAACUUUCAGUACUUCAUCCAGGUCCUCUACUGAACUUUGGAUUCAAGCAGAAAUAUUCCUGCUGUUCCAUCACUUCCAAGGGAUUCUACUUCCCUGUGAUACCAGCUCUUAUCUGCUCCUGCACCAGUCUCACUUUCCUUGUCUGCUUCACUAGCCUCUUGUUUUAAAUGAGUUUAGGUAGCAGGACCUGGGAAUGCUCAGCCUUUGCAACAGAGCUGAGCAGAUAACUGUUCAAAGGACACUUGCUUUUCAGUUACUGCAGGAAGAGUGACACUGUGCUUUCUGUGCUUACUUCUGGGCAGCUCAGAACUAUGUGUUGUACACAGAUCUUCUGGCUUUGCACUCAUACUCACGCUUUCUGCAAGGGAUGAAACUUGGACUGAGAUUUGAACUGAGUUUUGCUCUGAAAACUUAGUGGAUUUUUUAGUAGCUAUAUGCAAGUUCUGCAGGAGUGUUUAAAGGUGUCUCAGUUUGGGAUGGGCUACAUUUUUAUGUUAUGUGCCACAUUUCAUUGUAAGUUAAAGUGAUAUCAGCCCAAAAUGACAUAGUUGCUCUGCAUGUCAGGAUAGCUCACUGAAGCUAAGGGACAGUCUGUUCCAUAAAGAAAAAGGUUAAGAUGGGGGAAGAGUUUUUUAAAAGGCAGAGGCUUUGUUGCUGUUGUUUUUAGCAGCAGUAUGAGUAAAAAUACUUUGUGUCAAAAAUAAGAAAGCUAAUGCAAAUAAUUUAGUACAUAACAUAGUUUUUUUUCCAAAUGCCUUUUUUUUUUCUUAUUUUUAGCAUUGUAUUUUUUUGCCUUACUUGCCAGUUAAGAUUCAUGAGUGACUGUAAGGAAGAGAUCUUGUAUAAUGCCGGACUCAUUUCUAGCAAUAAUACAGUUUUCUGCUAAUACAUUUGGAAAGGCUGGAACAAAGACCAAAAAAGGAGCAGGAUGUACUUGGAGUGGUGUUCAGGACAACAGCAGCGGUAUCUUCUCCAUCAAGUGAUAUAGACAUAUGCAUCAUAAACUUAAGCCAGUGUAUCUGAAGACUUAUUGUACAGCCCUCUGUGGCCCUCAGUCACCAUCAUCACUGUUGAAGAUCCCAAUCCCAGCCAUUCCAGGUGGCUAGGCAAGAAACUCCAAGGCAGCAGCCAGAUGAAUCUCACAACUGCAGCAAACAGACACCCUCUUGUGAUGUAUGUCUUCCCCUGUUCUGCUCUUGUGCUCCUGUUCCCAAAGCUUCACUCAGACCCACCUGAGAAGCGUUUGUGAAUGUUAUGAAGAGACUUAUCCUAAAUGUCUAGGCUCGUUCCUGGAAAGGCUGAGCCAAGGUUUGAGCCUUAUGCAAAAUGAAGGAUCAAGAAAGUGUGCAUGAGGCAGACUUUGGAAUGGGAGCACUUUGGAAUUGACCGUUCACAUGAUCUUGAAGCUGCAGUAAUAACACUGCAUUACAGACUCAAGAGAUCAACGUCUUUCUGAACAGUCAAAGCUAACAUGAAUUUUGGAGUCAUCUUUUAAACAGUAAACCACCGUCAGUCCUAGUGGUAAUUCAGACUUUAUGCUGGCACUGUUCCCAUUGAAUUUAGUGACAUUUUUGAGUGAGUAAUGAUUAAAAAUUGAGUAUGGACAUGAGGAUUUCUUCCAUAUUCUAUAAUGUUGAGACAAAGCAUGCUGCCUUGUCACCCCCAGAAAUGCAUGUUUUUCUGGUGAGAAUUCCCAGUCUGAUGUAUAGUUUUAGUGACCUCUUCACACUCCCUUCCAAACACAGUGAACUGAGGAGUUACUUAUGGCAGACACUUUAGGCUGAGGAGUUCUUUUCAUGCCUGUCUCUAGGAUACAACUUAACAGUUGUCAUUUGAGAUUUCUUAAGUUUCAUGGGUGAGAGGACUAACAAAAAAAUUCUUCAUCUUAGCGAUGUAAGAAGCAUCAGACAUUUUCCCAAUAAAUUUUACUCUUAGCGGAACAUUAUUACAUGAAAUGGAUACACAGAAUUGACAUGGAAAUAUGUUAAACAGUCACAUGAAAUUCUCUGGAAAAAUACAAAAGAUCAGCUACACUUCAUUUUGUGAGAACUAUUUUUCUGUGCAUACCACUUUACUGGAGUAUUGAAGUUUUCCUGAAAGACUCCUUUUUACUUUCAGAGCUUUAUAAAAUGAGCAUCACAUUUUAUCUUCACAUUGCCUGUUCAAAGCAUGAAGUAUGUUUUCUGAGGUUUCUGCUUCAGAAUGCUGUACUGAUUCCAGUUCAACUCGCCUGUGUCCAUAAAGUAAGUCAAAAUUAAUUUUUGAAUCAGUACAGAUUAAAGGAUUAUUUUCUUUGUUCAACAAUACUUAUCUUCAACCCUUUGGAUUAGUCAGAGAUGUAGAUAUACAAUUCCUAUUAGAAUAAUCACUCAAGAGACUAUGGCUUGACUAGGAACAAUCCUUUAUCCUCCCUUCCUAAGAACAUUUCUACACUCUGAAAGUCAAAUUCUAUUUCCUACCGACAUAAAUCUCUUAUGUUUUCUUAAUAUUUGGUGGUAUAGUUAAUGUGAUACUUGUGGAUUAUACCAAGGUAUCCAGUAACAACUGCUAUAUAUGCGAUAGGAAUGUUACGAGCAAUGCAGAUGACAUGUCUAGAUUAAGGCUGCCUGAUUGCCUUCAUAUUAGCUUUUAAGUUUUUCCCUUGGCCAUACUCCAAGCUAAAAUUUUCUGGUUCUGAGACUGUCACACUGCUUAUUUUUAUGGAAAUUUCAGACAAAAAAUAGUUGUGAAGGUUGUUUCUGAAUUUCUGAGUUUGGAAUGGGCCCAUCUCACAUCAAAUUUUUCCAACUCAUACUUAAAUGCUGUUCUACGGAAGAUUUUGUGCCCUCAUUUUUAAAACAAAUUUUUACAAUUCCCAUCUUGCCAAAUCAGCAAUGGUACUUUGUAAAGAUCCAACCCUUGGAAAAAUCAGAGAUAUUCAAAAUUAAUUGAUAGCAACUUUGCAAAUAAUUUGUUUGACUUGGUGGCAGUUCCACCUCAGUCUUUAACAAUGCAACCUUUAGCUGGUUGCUGAAGCACCAGCCUCAGAGAGCCAUGGAGCACAUCACUCCCUCACCACUGUAUUGAACUCGGUGUCCGAAUUCAUGAUGCCUAGAGGCAACCGUGAAACCCAGAGGGAAGUGUAGGCCUAUCCUUGUCCAAAGCCAGAGUCACCAUUCAGCCACUGCUUCCUUUGUCUCUGCAGACUCCAGCAGAUGUCUGUGUGAUGAUCCAACCAGUUCAUAAAUGUGGUUUGAUAGGAGGGAAUUUCUGUGUCUUUUUUUUUUUUUUUUUUUAUAAAAGGUAUUUUAUACUCUGUGUGAGUCUCUGCAUAAUGAGGUUUGAUACAAGACCUUCAAUGACUUGUGCUCUUUAUACUAUCAGUCUGAUUGUGUGGAGGGUUUAUCUUGCUGUUAUAGAGUUCAGAAGUUCAGUGAGAAGUCAACUCUUCUUCCUAAUAUGGCUUUAAGAUGGCAACACUGACUUAAACAUCACAGUCUAUACCUGAAUUUAGUACAUUCUAUCUUCUCUUGUUUCUGUGUAAUAAAUAGACUCAAGGUCCUCAAAUUAUUCAUUAAUUCUUGAAUUUUAAGUACUCUUCGUACUUUCCACAUUCAUUCUUUAGCAACAUGUUGAACUGGGAAGCAAAGUAGCAACUUGCUAUCAAAGAAAAAGUUAUGUACUCAUAGAGAGUUUAAGUAGGAAACACUGAAGGAACCUUGGAAAGGUUACAUAGAGAGUAACACUUAACGGAAGAGAAAUCUGUUCAGACUUAUCAGAAUGGCAUGUGAACUCUGAUAUAUCUUACAUUUACUGUCUCUAUAACAAACAACAUUUGUGCAUGUUUUGUUCAUUUUGGUCUUUGGUCUUCGCCUCUAGAUCUUAUUAACUUUAGACUUGCUUUUAGAAGAGGAAGAGUCACAUUCUGGAAAUGCUUGUGUCUCUGUCUUAACAGUAGAAGACAAUCCAAGGCUAGCUAAGACUUUUAAGACUAGCUUAUAAGAUAAGUGAGAAAAGUUCUACCUAGAGUUUUUAUAGCUACUGUAACUUGGUGGUCCAACACAACUGGAAUUCUCUAAAAUCUUACUUUCCUACUUGACAUCUUUUUUUUUUUUUCCUUAGCAACACUAGUUUUAAAGUGUUUAUAGUUCUUAUCCUUUUCCUCAUGUUAAUAGAGAAAAAAAAUAAACCUUUUCUUUUAACCUCAGAAAGUAUGCUUCUUGACAUCUUUGUAAAUUGAUGUGAAGUUGUAGAAUGGACCUAAUAAAGGAAUGUCCAUAAUACAAUAUAGUUUGGUUGACAUGAUCCUGUGCCGUGACCUGGUUACCUCUUUUAAAAUGCACAAACAUACACCAAAUC